UACGAGGGGGGCUAGUGUUGUUCGGAAUCACUGGGCGUAAAGGGAGCGUAGGCGGGCUUUCAAGUUAGGUGUUUAAUCCCGGGGCCCAACCCCGGACAGGCACUUAAAACUGGGAGUCUUGAAUAGUGGAGAGGUCAGUGGAAUUAGAGGUGUAGCGGUGGAAUGCGUAGAGAUCUCUAAGAACACCAGUUGCGAAGGCGGCUGACUGGACACAUAUUGACGCUGAGGCUCGAAAGCAUGGGGAGCAAACAGG
RNAcentral lists this ribosomal RNA (253 nucleotides) under uncultured bacterium. RNAcentral's name for it is "partial 16S ribosomal RNA". It matches the Rfam family "Bacterial small subunit ribosomal RNA", at positions 524 to 776 of the family's 1533-position model. The record is from RNAcentral.